RNAcentral lists this ribosomal RNA (461 nucleotides) under uncultured bacterium. Its description in RNAcentral is "bacterial SSU rRNA". It matches the Rfam family "Bacterial small subunit ribosomal RNA", at positions 329 to 802 of the family's 1533-position model. The record is from RNAcentral.
AUCGUAACUCCUACGGGAGGCAGCAGUGGGGAAUAUUGCGCAAUGGGCGAAAGCCUGACGCAGCGACGCCGCGUGAGGGAUGAAGGCCUUCGGGUUGUAAACCUCUUUCAGCAGGGACGAAGCGAGAGUGACGGUACCUGCAGAAGAAGCACCGGCCAACUACGUGCCAGCAGCCGCGGUAAUACGUAGGGUGCAAGCGUUGUCCGGAAUUAUUGGGCGUAAAGAGCUCGUAGGCGGUCUGUCGCGUCGGCUGUGAAAACUCGGGGCUCAACCCCGAGCCUGCAGUCGAUACGGGCAGACUAGAGUUCGGCAGGGGAGACUGGAAUUCCUGGUGUAGCGGUGAAAUGCGCAGAUAUCAGGAGGAACACCGGUGGCGAAGGCGGGUCUCUGGGCCGAUACUGACGCUGAGGAGCGAAAGCGUGGGGAGCGAACAGGAUUAGAUACCCGGGUAGUCCUAGAGC